AGUCCACCACUACACAUCCGAAUCAGCUCCACUCUGCUCCUGCAUCAACUUAGAAACACUCUGGUAGGUGGUUCUGGGGUCAGUCUACUAUGCUCUAAAUAUAACAAAAAUGAUGUUCCAACUUAACUUUAACAAUAUCACACUUAUUCAGACAUCACCUUUUUUAGACAUCACAAUAUUCGGACAUUCUUUCUAGUCGCCAGAUUCUGACUUAGUCAUUUAGACACGUAAUAUGAGCAUCAUGCUAGAACUUAGGAAAGACAUGCACAUGUCAUUGCAUAUAGGAUCAUUAAUACUAGGCAUAUCACAUAAGGUAGUCAUCUUUACGGAAUCCUAACACAUGUGAAGUUAACAUGGAAAGUAUACAUAGUAACAUAGUCAUCAUCCUCGAAUCAAUCCUAAACAUUGAAACAUGAAGAACACAUUAUUACUGGAACAUUUAUCAUAUCUGGUCAACAAUCCAAGAAACAUUGUAACAUAAGGGACACAUCACUGCAUGAACAUUGGACACAACUAAUCAUCUAAAUCGAGAACAUAGGAGCAUAUAAAACACAUCAUUACAUGAACAUUGAUCAUAGCAAGUAGUUAUUGUGACACCCGCCCCUAGACGAUCCGAUCGAACCACACAGUUCAACCCAUGCAAUGCCCGCGGGUUCACUUGGCAUAUAAACAUAAUAACUAACAUACAAUAACUAAACUAAAAACAUCCUCAAUUCAAAAGUAAAAUGACAGCGGAAAUAAACAGAGCAUCCAAGGCUCGAAAUGCUCAACUAAACAUCACUGAAAAACAACCCAAACAGGAGAAAUAACAACAGAAAAUACGUCUGUCAAAAAAACUGGAAACAUGAAAUCCCAAAACUUCAAAUUCGAUGUCAUCUCCCUAAAGCUCGAUUGCCUGAUUUGUAUGACAUGUAGAGAUUGAAUCGUAGGAUUGAAAUCUCAAAACUCCAAAUUCACAACCUGUCAGGAUUUUCCUACACGGGAUUCGACAAGGAUAAAGAAAGGAGGAAGAAGAUAGAUAAUCUUAUGAAACUUCCUCAACGAUCUCUAAGCCCCUCCUACCGGUCUGGGAUCGAUCAACAAGACCCUCUCCUCUGCCUGGAAUUAAUCGCCGAUCAAUACGACUGUGAUUCACCUAUUAGCCAUGAUCGUGACUGCACUGAUCACAGUCGUGAUCUCCCUGACGACCACGCCCGUGACGAGCAGUUGGCCACGCCUAUGAUGGUCCUCCUGACAACCGAUUUCCAAAGAACACAGAAAACCGAACCAAAACCCAAAGCCAACAAUUAACCCAAACAGGGGUGUCACAUUUAUCACUUCCAAGAACAUUAGGACAUAUCACAACAAAUCAGCACAUGACAAUCACUUGAUAUAUCUUAACAGGUGGUCAUUAACACCAACAUCACUUUGGAACCAUGAGAACACAUGUCAUUGAAUCACAUCAGUACAUGAUGAUCACUUAGAAAACAUGAGAGCAUGUGACAGAGUCUUACACUUAUACUUGACCUUAUCUAAGGUAUCUCAUCACUUGCACUUGACAUAAGUAUAUGUGACCUUAUCUAAAGUAUCUUAUAAUUUGCACUUGUCAUACUUGUACAUGACCUUAUCUAAGGUUUCCGAUCAGUUGAACUCGACAUACUAGUUGGGCGUCCCCUAACUCAACUAACUAGUCCACCACCCAAACGUGAACAUGAGAGUAUGUGGGUGCGAAUCAAUUAGACAGUAACAUGAGGGGCACUCUAUGGCCCAGGCAACUGUGGCCCAUACGUGAGAAACAUGGGGGGCAAUAUUGGCUCAAAAGUUAACGUGAGUUCAUCACAUGAGGGGCAAUACCGGCUCGAACGUGAACGUGAGAAACAUGAGAGCAAUAUUGGCUCAAACGUGAACAUGAGAUUAUCACCUGAGAGGCAAUACCGGCUCAAAUGUGAACAUGCAGCCGGAAUAUCCAUCAGACGAUAGCAUGAGGGGCAACCUGGCCCAAACGUGAACAUGAAAGUCUGGAAUAUCCAUCGAAUGGUAACAUGGGGUGGUGGUCCAACUAGAGAGUUACAUGAUUCUAAUACCCUUGUUAAUUGUCUUAGUAACGUAUACCUAUUCACUGCUGGCUAGUCAUUUAGACAUAUCAUAACCUAAUCUUGAGGUAGUCUAGCCUUAUCAUCAUUUAAGAGCACAUCAUCAAAUAAUAAUCUAACAUAUAAUGACAUAACCACUUAACCAUCACAUGGAUCACAUAAACAUGAGAUACCCACUAAUCAAGAAACAUAACAUGACAUAUCAUAAUUCAACUUCUAACUUGCACAUAAUCCUCAAGUAAUAAUAUAAGCACAACAUAACCACUUAAUCGUAACAUGGGUCAUGUGAACAUGAGGUAACCACCAAGGAGGGGGACAUGACAUGACUUGGCAUAAUUCAAGGUACAAAUUUGCACAUAAUCAAAUGAUAACAUAACAUAUGGUGACAUAACCGCAUAACCAUAACAUUGAUCACAUGAACAUGGUGAACACUAAUCAAGGAGACAAUGACAUGAUUUAUUAUAGUUCAAGGACUUAUCCUAGUUUAAAGGACUUAUCAUAGUUUAACGAAUUUCACAUCAUCAAGUAGUAACAUGAACAUCACCGUCUAACCAUAACAUGUAUAAGUUGAACAUAAUAUAGACACUAAUCCUGGAGAACAUGACAUGGCUUAACAUAGUCUAAAAGGGCAAACUUGCACAUCAUCAGGCAGCAACAUAUGCACUUAAUCAUAACAUGAAUAUGAUGGACAUAACAUGAACACUAAUCCUAGGAAACAUGACAUGACCUAACAUAGUUUAAAAGGAUUAACUUGCCCAUCAUCGAGGGAUAUUCUAAUCUAACAUAACCUAACAUAACAUAGCCAUCUAAUCAUAACAUAACCAACAUGACAGAGGUAUCCACUUAGUCAUAACAUAACUAACAUGACAGAGGGAAACCACUUAAUCAUAGAGAAAUUCACAUACGAUUAGCCGCAUCACAUGAAUAACAUGACGUAACAUAACAUAACCUAACAUAACAUAGUCACUUAAUCAUCACAUGAAUAACAAGACUUAAGGUAAUCACUUAACCAAUCGAAUAAUUUCAUAACAUAGCCUAACAUAAUAUAAUCACUUAACUAUCACCUGAAUAACUUGACAUAAGAUAAUCACUUAAUCAUGGAAUCAUCGAUAUGAAGGUAAUCACUUAAUCGUGGAAAUCAUUGACAUAAACUUAAAUGCAUCAAUCAUGUAAUAUAACCACAUAACCUAGCAUGGUCACUUAAUCAUCGAUUCAUGGCAUGGAAUCACGACAUGGAAUUAUGUUCGUUAAAUUACUUAAACUUAUUUUAACCUAUUGCAUCGAUAAGAUUUUACCCUAUUAAACCACCCACCUGGAUGAUGAGCCCAAAAUCCCAGAAUGCAUCUGAGAAGAUUCCUCUCGCUGCCAUGAAUCCACAGCUUCUGAAGUGCGUCGUUUGAGUUCAAACGGUCGAGUUAUGCUAUAGUUACUCUUCCAGAAAUCGAAGAACACUCAAUGGCAGAACUGUAAUUCUAAAAUUUUCAGUUUGGUCACCAAAUUUUUCCAACAUUGCUCGAAGGUCAUUGAACUUUUCCAGGAUGCAGGGAGGUCACUCAACUUUUCCACACUUGCUGGAAAGUCAGUCUGCUUCUCCGGCCAUCUCGUCGUCACCGGCGAGGAUUUCCAGAAUCAGGCGAGCUUCAAACCUUCUGGAAACUGCCGAUUCUUGCCGCCCUUGCCCUAUCUCCGUUUUCCAACACCCCGACGACUCCAGACCGCCUCGAUGGAGAUGCCACACCCCCUACACGCGCCGACGCCAAAACCUCCGCCGGCAAUGGCUUCCUCUGGUUAGCUUUGGAACAACGCCACUUUUGAGGCCUCUCUCUCUCUCUUGCACAUCGCCAUUCGAAACGUCGCCGAUAGCUUCCUCCUCUCCUCUGAGUCAAUCUUCCACCAGCUCUCUCUCGAUCGAUUCCUCCGUCGACAACCGACGCCGCGGUCUCUCUCUCCCUACUCUGUCUCUUUCUCUCUCUCUCUCUCUGCUUUUUCUAGUUUCUUCAAUCGUUCCAGAGUACCUCCUCCCAUCUCUCUUCUCCCUUCAAUUAUUCAGCUACUAACAAGGAGAUAAGAAUCAAAACAAUGAAACAGGGAGGCU
This 4167-nucleotide long non-coding RNA is filed under the name Linum usitatissimum (flax). RNAcentral's name for it is "long non-coding RNA (LUSI_LNC007407)". Lineage: Eukaryota; Viridiplantae; Streptophyta; Magnoliopsida; Malpighiales; Linaceae. The record is from RNAcentral.